AACAAACACACGGGAGUGCACAGCGAGUGCGCUGAGAGGACGGCUAACGGCCGUCGACCGUACGAACCUGUCCGGGUAAUGCCGGCGUAGGGAGAUGAUCAUGAUGCGUU
RNAcentral lists this non-coding RNA (110 nucleotides) under Mycolicibacterium mageritense. RNAcentral's name for it is "Mycobacterium mageritense TPP sequence". It matches the Rfam family "TPP riboswitch aptamer (THI element)". From Rfam's summary of the family: Vitamin B(1) in its active form thiamin pyrophosphate (TPP) is an essential coenzyme that is synthesised by coupling of pyrimidine and thiazole moieties in bacteria. The previously detected thiamin-regulatory element, thi box was extended, resulting in a new, highly conserved RNA secondary structure, the THI element, which is widely distributed in eubacteria and also occurs in some archaea. Analysis of operon structures identified a large number of new candidate thiamin-regulated genes, mostly transporters, in various prokaryotic organisms. RNAcentral also lists the same sequence under 1 other name. The record is from RNAcentral. Lineage: Bacteria; Bacillati; Actinomycetota; Actinomycetes; Mycobacteriales; Mycobacteriaceae.